GAUGAACGCUAGCGGCAGGCUUAAUACAUGCAAGUCGAGGGGCAGCGCGGGUAGCAAUACCUGGCGGCGACCGGCAAACGGGUGCGGAACACGUACGCAACCUUCCCAUAACUGGUGAAUAGCCCUCCGAAAGGAGGAUUAAUACACCGUAACAUAACGAAGAGGCAUCUUUUUGUUAUUAUAGUAGCAAUACGGUUUUGGAUGGACGUGCGCUUGAUUAGGUAGUUGGCGGGGUAACGGCCCACCAAGCCUGAGAUCAGUAACUGGUGUGAGAGCACGACCAGUCACACGGGCACUGAGACACGGGCCCGACUCCUACGGGAGGCAGCAGUAAGGAAUAUUGGUCAAUGGACGAAAGUCUGAACCAGCCAUGCCGCGUGAAGGAUUAAGGCCCUCUGGGUUGUAAACUUCUUUUAUCUGGGACGAAAAAAGGUCAUUCUGGCUCACUUGACGGUACCAGAGGAAUAAGCACCGGCUAACUCCGUGCCAGCCGCCGCCGUAA
Molecule: ribosomal RNA, 502 nt
Filed under: uncultured bacterium
Lineage: Bacteria
Description: partial 16S ribosomal RNA
Rfam family: Bacterial small subunit ribosomal RNA
Source: RNAcentral